RNAcentral lists this ribosomal RNA (254 nucleotides) under uncultured Aminobacterium sp. RNAcentral describes it as "partial 16S ribosomal RNA". It matches the Rfam family "Bacterial small subunit ribosomal RNA", at positions 796 to 1041 of the family's 1533-position model. The record is from RNAcentral. Lineage: Bacteria; Thermotogati; Synergistota; Synergistia; Synergistales; Aminobacteriaceae.
CUGGCCGUAAACGAUGAAUGCUAGGUGUGGGUGUAGAGAUACAUUCGUGCCGGAGUUAACGCGAUAAGCAUUCCGCCUGGGGAGUACGGUCGCAAGAUUGAAACUCAAAGGAAUUGACGGGGGCCCGCACAAGCGGUGGAGCACGUGGUUUAAUUCGAUGCAAACCGAAGAACCUUACCUGGGUUUGACAUGUACGUGGUACGGAUCUGAAAGGUGAAGGACCUUUUCUUCGGAAGAGGAGCGUACACAGGUGC